This 301-nucleotide ribosomal RNA is filed under the name uncultured bacterium. RNAcentral describes it as "partial 16S ribosomal RNA". It matches the Rfam family "Bacterial small subunit ribosomal RNA", at positions 509 to 807 of the family's 1533-position model. The record is from RNAcentral.
CAGCCGCCGCGGUAAUACGAAGGGUGCAAGCGUUAAUCGGAAUUACUGGGCGUAAAGCGUGCGUAGGCGGUGAGUUAAGUCUGCUGUGAAAUCCCCGGGCUCAACCUGGGAAUGGCAGUGGAUACUGGCUCGCUAGAGUGUGUCAGAGGAUGGUGGAAUUCCCGGUGUAGCGGUGAAAUGCGUAGAGAUCGGGAGGAACAUCAGUGGCGAAGGCGACUAUCUGGGCCAACACUGACACUGAGGCACGAAAGCGUGGGGAGCAAACAGGAUUAGAUACCCCUGUGGUCCCUGUCUCUUAUAC